GCAAUAUAGUAUUUAUUUAGAUCUAAUACACAUCAAUUUGUUAAGCGUCUCAAACAUUAUAAAUAAAACAACAAUAAAGAUAGCAAAAUCAUUUCUCAGUCUAAAACUUCUCCUUCUCUUAUAAAAUAAACAACUAGUUAAAAUGUUGGCUGUACAUCUUUAAACAUAAGAUGCAGGACAUUUUUGUACAUAAGAAUUUAGAAGAAAAAUGUGAACUAGUGUUUCUCAGAAGUUGAUGCUUAGACAACCUGGGAUGAAAAUAGAUAAUCAUGUAUAUAAAUUUUCCUCUUAUCCUUGUUGACUAAGAUUGUCAGUUUACCUAACAAGGUCGGUGGUUUUCUCAGGGCACAACUGCUUCCUCCACCAAAAAAAACUGACCGCCACGAAAUAGCUCAAAAGAGGUGUUUAAAAGUGGUAUUACCAACAACCAAUCAAUCUCUCUGCAUCCUACUUUAUAUAUGAGUGAAGAUUUCAGGUAAGAUAAAUAAUGAUAUAGUCAACAUUACAACAUGGAGAAUUUGUUUUUUCUUUUUAUCUGAUUCCAGGCUUAAUUUUUUU
RNAcentral lists this long non-coding RNA (558 nucleotides) under Mytilus galloprovincialis (Mediterranean mussel). The record is from RNAcentral. Lineage: Eukaryota; Metazoa; Mollusca; Bivalvia; Mytilida; Mytilidae.